Molecule: ribosomal RNA, 454 nt
Filed under: uncultured Actinomycetes bacterium
Lineage: Bacteria; Bacillati; Actinomycetota; Actinomycetes
Description: bacterial SSU rRNA
Rfam family: Bacterial small subunit ribosomal RNA
Source: RNAcentral
GGCGAACGGGUGAGUAACGCGUGAGCAAUCUACCUUAGUGACAGGAUAGCCCGAGGAAACUCGGAUUAAUACCUGAUAUUCUUUACAUUUCGCAUGAAAUCAAAAGGAAAGGUCAGCCGAACUAAGAUGAGCUCGCGUUCUAUCAGCUAGUUGGUGAGGUAAAAGCUCACCAAGGCAACGACGGAUAGCUGGUCUGAGAGGACGAUCAGCCACACUGGGACUGAGACACGGCCCAGACUCCUACGGGAGGCUGCAGCAGGGAAUAUUGCGCAAUGAGCGAAAGCUUGACGCAGCGACACCGCGUGUGGGAUGACGGAUCUAGGUUUGUAAACCACUUUCAGGAGGGAAGAAAAUGACGGUACCUCCACAAGAAGCCCCGGCCAACUACGUGCCAGCAGCCGCGGUAAUACGUAGGGGGCGAGCGUUGUCCGGAUUUAUUGGGCGUAAAGAGCUC